This is a long non-coding RNA of Cucumis melo (muskmelon), 959 nucleotides long. RefSeq lists it as uncharacterized. The record is from RefSeq and is a predicted model, not a curated record. NCBI's taxonomy places the organism in Eukaryota, Viridiplantae, Streptophyta, Magnoliopsida, Cucurbitales, Cucurbitaceae. The transcript is spliced from 3 exons.
CCGCCGCCGCCAAUCUCCACCGCCGCCGCCGCCGUCGCACGCCGCCGCAAGCCAGCCAUCGUAGAAGCCGCGUCGUACCGCGUCCGCCAGCCGAAGGAGCCGCGCCGCUUCGAUCUGAGGCAGGUCAGCCGAAACCCGUCGCGUCCCGAAGCCGAAUCCACCUCUGCGCCGAACGCGUCGCGAAGCCGAGAUCCAUCUCCACGUCGAAGCCGCGUCGCCAGCCAUCGUCGUCUGCAUCCGAGCCGCGAACGCGUCUGCAAAUCCGAGCCGCGAACGCGCCUACACCCGAGCCGUAUCGAAGCCGCGAACGCGCCCGCCUCCAGCCGACGAACGAACCCGAACCCGGAACCGCCCGCGCGCUCGAACCUGGAACCGCCCGCGCGCCCGAACCCGGAACCGAACCCGCGCCCGUGCCACACGUGCCUGACUCUCCCGCGUGCAAGCGCGCCGCGCCGUGUGUUCCGCGUAGCCGAGCCGCGUCCCCUCCCUGUAGCAAGCCGAGCCGCACGCGAAGUCCCCAUACCGAGCCGAGCCGCGUCUGCACCAAGCCGAGCCGGUCCUGCCUUCUUCCAGCCGAGCCGCCAAGCCUGUUUUGGCUCCUUCCACCUAAAUUUUUGCAAAUUGGACCAAAUAGCUGCUGCAGCUUAGGACUUCCUCAGUAGGAACUCAUCUAGCAACAUCUCGAGGUAGAGGACGAGGCAAGGGCAAGGGCAAGCUGGCGAGCGACGUGAAGUGACCGUGGCGAGCCAUAGGGGUUUUCCUGCUUCCGCACAUGUUUUACUUUACAGUUAAAUUCAUGUUUCGGCUUUCUGCAUGUUUACUUUGGUUAUUUUUGUAGAUAGGGCCCGCUUAGGGAUUUUAAACUUAACUCGUAUUUCUACAUGUUACUUUAACUAUCUUUCAUAAAUACAUUUGCUAGAUUUCUUUGCAUUUAUUUACACCGGAUUUUAUGACUUAAA